This 425-nucleotide ribosomal RNA is filed under the name uncultured bacterium. RNAcentral's name for it is "bacterial SSU rRNA". It matches the Rfam family "Bacterial small subunit ribosomal RNA", at positions 356 to 773 of the family's 1533-position model. The record is from RNAcentral.
UAAGAAUCUUCCGCAAUGGGGGAAACCCUGACGGAGCGACGCCGCGUGGACGAUGAAGGCCGGAAGGUUGUAAAGUCCUUUUUUAAGAGAAGAAUAAGUGGGGGAGGGAAUGCCCCUAUGAUGACGUUAUCUUGAGAAUAAGCCCCGGCUAAUUACGUGCCAGCAGCCGCGGUAAUACGUAAGGGGCGAGCGUUGUUCGGAUUUAUUGGGCGUAAAGGGCGUGUAGGCGGUUCUGUAAGCUUGGUGUGAAAGGCUAAGGCUUAACUUUAGGAUUGCGCUGAGAACUGCAGGACUUGAGUGUAGGAGGGGGAUACGGAAUUCCUGGUGUAGGGGUGAAAUCUGUAGAUAUCAGGAAGAACACCGGUGGCGAAGGCGGUAUCCUGGCCAUACACUGACGCUGAGGCGCGAAAGCGUGGGGAGCGAAC